GCAGAAUUUAAUUAGUGUUUUAGCGCUUGACUGGCAGUCAAGAGGUCGUGAGUUCGAAUCUCAUCUUCUCCA
Molecule: transfer RNA, 72 nt
Filed under: Crocinitomicaceae bacterium
Lineage: Bacteria; Pseudomonadati; Bacteroidota; Flavobacteriia; Flavobacteriales; Crocinitomicaceae
Description: tRNA-Ala
Rfam family: tRNA
About the family: Transfer RNA (tRNA) molecules are approximately 80 nucleotides in length. Their secondary structure includes four short double-helical elements and three loops (D, anti-codon, and T loops).
Source: RNAcentral